CAACCCCUUAAGCCUCAGCUGCUUAGUAUUAGGGAUUUAAUCGUCACGGCGGUUAACCCCUUAAAAUUAUCGGCGAAGGCCGGCAAACAUCUUCAGCGUAUUAAUUUAUCCGCUUUAUGAUGAUGCCAGCUUUUAGCCGCCAACCCCUUAUAUUUUUAUUUUAUUUUACAUGG
Molecule: unclassified non-coding RNA, 173 nt
Filed under: uncultured Xylaria
Lineage: Eukaryota; Fungi; Ascomycota; Sordariomycetes; Xylariales; Xylariaceae
Description: sequence contains ITS2
Source: RNAcentral